RNAcentral lists this ribosomal RNA (1532 nucleotides) under Polychrus marmoratus (common monkey lizard). RNAcentral's name for it is "16S rRNA". It matches the Rfam family "Bacterial large subunit ribosomal RNA", at positions 436 to 2830 of the family's 2925-position model. Lineage: Eukaryota; Metazoa; Chordata; Lepidosauria; Squamata; Polychrotidae. The record is from RNAcentral.
GCUUAAAUCUUAGCCCAUUCCUUCCCCCAAAAUAACCUAAACCCUAAACAAACCAUUUGACAAGACUAGUAGAGGCGAUCAAACCUCACCAAUGACGCUAUAAAACCAGUACCGCAAGGGAAACGUGAAAAAAUAAUGAAACAUUAAAGCAACACACAGCAAAGAUUUAACCCUGUACCUCCUGCAUCAUGAUUUAGCCAGAACCCGCAGACAAGACGCCCCAAAGCCUGCAACCCCGAAUUCAAGUGAGCUAUCCUGGCUCAGCCAACAGAGCUCAUCCUUCCAUGUAGCAAAAUGGUGGAAAGAUGUCAAGAUAGAGGUGAAAAGCCUACCGAACUUGUUAAUAGCUGGUUACCUAACAAACGAAUUUAAGUUCCACUUUAAGCUCAAGCCACCACAAUCUAGUGCCAAAUAUAGCUUAAAAGAUAUUCAACGAGGGUACAGCCCCAUUGAACCAGGAUACAACCUGAAAUAGAGAGACUACUAUUUUUCCCUAACCCGUAGGCCUUUAAGCAGCCACCAUACAUUAAUGCGUCACAGCCCACCAAUUAAAAUACCAAUACACCCAACAAACUCCUACCUUCCCACUAGGUCACCCUACUCAAAAAUAGAGGUGUUUCUGCCAAAACUAGUAACAAGGAUUAUCCUCUUAACACACCUGUAAAUCAGCAAUAGAAAAACUACUGAAAAUUAACAGAACCUCAGUACAAACCCCUUUCCCCUGUACUUAAUAAUCUGUUCCCCCAACACAGGCGUGUUCACAAGAAAGAUUAAAAGUCAAAGAAGGAAUUCAGCAAACAAUCAAUCCCAACUGUUUACCAAAAACAUAGCCUUUAGCCCCAACCGUAUUAAAGGUAACGCCUGCCCAGUGAUAUAUUAAACGGCCGCGGUAUCCUAACCGUGCAAAGGUAGCGUAAUCACUUGUCCCCUAAAUAGAGACCAGUAUGAACGGCUAAAUGAGGAUUAAACUGUCUCCUACGACUAAUCAGUGAAACUGAUCUUCCAGUCCAAAAGCUGGAAUAAACACAUAAGACGAGAAGACCCUGUGGAGCUUAAAAUUAAAGCCACCCACACCAACCGACCUAAUCAAACAUGGCCUACAAUUUUAAGUUGGGGCGACUUCGGAACCAAACAAAACUUCCGAGCACAAGAGCAUCCCUCAUACCAAGGCCAACAUGCCUAAGCACAACCUGACCCAGUCCUACUGAUCAACGAACCAAGUUACCCCAGGGAUAACAGCGCCAUCUUCUUUAAGAGUCCCUAUCGCCAAGAAGGUUUACGACCUCGAUGUUGGAUCAGGACACCCAAAUGGUGCAGCAGCUAUUAAAGGUUCGUUUGUUCAACGAUUAAUAGUCCUACGUGAUCUGAGUUCAGACCGGAGCAAUCCAGGUCGGUUUCUAUCUAUGCAGCAGUUUUCUUUAGUACGAAAGGACCAAGAAAACAGGACCAAUACUACAAGUACGUCCUCACGCACUAGGCAGAAUUCAACUCAAGCCUACACCAGCACUUUCACACCCAGAUAUAAUGGGUUA